RNAcentral lists this ribosomal RNA (720 nucleotides) under Triticum aestivum (bread wheat). RNAcentral describes it as "partial small subunit ribosomal RNA". The record is from RNAcentral. Lineage: Eukaryota; Viridiplantae; Streptophyta; Magnoliopsida; Poales; Poaceae.
CGUCCGUGGCCGCGGGAGGCCACACGCUGGCCAUCCAGCGCCUCCCCGCGGCAGUUAAGAGCACCCCCGAGCCCCCUGGAACCCUAGCACGUUCCUCAUCCCCUCUUCUCGCCCCUCUACUCCCCACAGCGCAGACCCGCAGCCGCCGUUGCCAUGGGCUGCCUCCCCGCCGCGCUCCCCGUCGACCAUGCGCCCUUGGAACACGUCAAGAAGCUCUGUGGUGCUCCCCUGCUUUGACUAAGCCGCUGGAUCGGAGCCAGGAGGUCACCACGACGACGCGCGCGUCCACUUCCUCGCCUUCGGCCGCCGUCGUCCUCCCCGUCGAUUAGCUCCGCCCCGACCCCCUCCGGCUUCAACGAGCGGCUCCCCGUCACCGAUGUAGACCUCGAGACUGCCGGCGACCCCCAGUUCAACUAUGGUGUUGACGACCCUUCCUUCUUGCCAUAGCAACCAGAUGUUGGAGCCCCGGAGCCAGACGCCACCGUUGACGAUGACCCCUACUACACCGGAGGUGCCUACUACUACGUGCAGGCCGCUGACGACGACCAGGAGUAGUUUAGGAGGAUCCCAGGCAGGAGGCAUCCGCCUCUUUCGAUCUGUAUCCCAGUUUUUGCUAGCCUUCUUAAGGCAAACUUGUUUACUUAUGUCUAUACUCAGAUAUUGUUGCUUCCACUGACUCAUCUAUGAUCGAGCACUUGUAUUCGAGCCCUCGAGGCCCCU